Molecule: long non-coding RNA, 1108 nt
Filed under: Equus caballus (horse)
Lineage: Eukaryota; Metazoa; Chordata; Mammalia; Perissodactyla; Equidae
Description: lncRNA (ENSECAG00000052787.1)
Source: RNAcentral
CAGUUAUCUAAGGUCGCCAUAUUUUGGAAGGAAGCGCUAUCUAAAAUUUGGGAUGAUCUUCGGCCAACGAUUACUGGACAACUGGAUCCAAAUUCCACAAAUAACAGUGUUCCUUUACCUGUGUGGGUGUUUCCCCUAAUAGAACGCAGGUGCCAUGCAUUUUCUCUUUCAGGCCUUCCUUUCCACUAUUCCUUCAACUCCAGCAGAUGCCCUGGCUGCUCUACAUGCCCCCUCGACGUGGGGCCACAGGCAGCACGCGGUCAGGCACAUAGGGACUCUUGGAAAGGGCUUGUGGAAGGGGUCCUCACUGCAGGGAGAGGCUCUGUUUUGCACCCCCACUACCCCUAGGACAUAUCCUGGGUAGAUGCUCACUGUCCCAGACUGCAAACCCCAUUUCUUUAUCUGUCGAAACCAUUCAACUGGGAGUGCUGUGAGAGCUGUAACAAGUCGCAUUAAGCACAGCAUCUUCAAGCCCUGCACCAACCAGGCCAGCAAAAGCAGGUCUCAGUGAGAGUCUUCGGAAUGGGAAUCCUUGUGCCACCUCUGGCAGAGCCCCAGCCCAAGGUGAGCCUGAAGGGGUUCUGGAUCUCAGCAGCAACACUCAGGGACCCUGGGCAGAAGGGUUUUCUGACUCUUUGUAGGAAUGCAAGAGCUAAGCAUGCACAACCUUCCAGAUGACACCCCUGUUGCAAUUGUACUACGAGCUCCAGCUAUGUGGAGAACUAGUGUGGAUCAGAGUGUAAUCAGAGACAGCUAGCGCCCACCUCCUGGUUCUGAAGGCCCCCACCCUCCACCACAGUGCUCUGGGCCCCCUGCAUCACACGCUGGUUGGCUGUACCACCCAGGUCCAAGGUGCUGACUGUGGCUGGCUCUUGGCUCCAACCCUUACAGGAACAUAGGGGGCUGAGAAAAUCGAUGGUGCUAAUCGCGAGCUCUCCACUGGGGAUGCCAUCCUAAAGGAAAACCGUGUGUGAAAUACUCAGAGUGGUAUCCGUUUGGAUGUUUAAAGAAGGAAGCAAAUUAACAUCGUUCCCGGUGCUCACAAGAAAGCCGGCUGAUCGUAAAGGACAUCCAGGCAGGCCCGGGAAGAAGCCAGAGUAAAGUCGAG